CCUACGGGAGGCAGCAGUGGGGGAUAUUGCACAAUGGGGGAAACCCUGAUGCAGCGACGCCGCGUGGGUGAAGAAGCGCCUCGGCGCGUACAGCCCUGUCAGCAGGGAAGAAAAUGACGGUACCUGAAGAAGAAGCCCCGGCUAACUACGUGCCAGCUGCCGCGGUAAUACGUAGGGGGCAAGCGUUCUCCGGAUUUCCUGGGUGUAAAGGGGGCGCAGACGGCGAUGCAAGCCAGGAGUGAAAGCCUGGGGCCCAACCCAGGGACUGCUCUUGGAACUGCUUGGCUAAAGUGCAGGAGGGGCAGGCGGAAUUCCUGGUGUAGCGUGGAAAUGCGUAGAUAUCAGGAGGAACACCGUUUGCGAAGGCGGCCUGCUGGACUGCAACUGACGUUGAGGCCCGAAAGCGUGGGGAGCAAACAGGAUUAGAUACCCGGGUAGUC
RNAcentral lists this ribosomal RNA (440 nucleotides) under uncultured bacterium. RNAcentral describes it as "partial 16S ribosomal RNA". It matches the Rfam family "Bacterial small subunit ribosomal RNA", at positions 338 to 795 of the family's 1533-position model. The record is from RNAcentral.